Non-coding RNA from Arachis ipaensis, 591 nucleotides. The record is from RefSeq and is a predicted model, not a curated record. Lineage: Eukaryota; Viridiplantae; Streptophyta; Magnoliopsida; Fabales; Fabaceae.
GAACAACACGAAAAUGGAUUAGACACUUGAGGACUUGUUCAACACCUUCAAGCAAUAUAUAAUGAUCUUGCAGAUACCCAAGGUGCUUUUUAUUUACUAAAAUCAAUCUUUUUUCUGAGCCAAUGUUGAUGAGUUUAUAUUCUAGUAGUGGUGGUGCAAGUUCUAGUAGUGGUCAUCAUCAACAUCAACAUCAACAUCAUCAUCAUCAAGUAGUUGAAGAGGUUUCAGUGCAAAGGAUGAAGAAGGAGGAGGUUAAUGCAAAGAUAUCAGCAUGGCAGAACAACAAGAUUGCAAAGAUUAACAACAGAUUCAAGAGAGAAGAUGCUGUCAUCAAAGGUUAGGAGAGUGAGUAGGUUCAGAAGGCUACUUCUUGGAUGAAGGAAGUUGAGGUUUUCAGCUUUUAUCAAUAUCCAAGAAUCAAAAUAAGGUCAUGACUCAUGACAAAUGCUCUUGCAACAUCUGUCAACGAAAUAUUGCAGACUUUUGAAUAUACUUACCAACUGAAAAAGAAUUGGGGUUUGAACAUCAACAAUGUCAUCAACUUCAGUGCUUGACACAUAAGGAAUGCCUUAUUCACUCCUUGCAAGAAAA